GACGAACCGUGCGAACGUUAUUCGGAAUCACUGGGCUUAAAGCGCGCGUAGGCGGGCCGGCACGUCGGUUGCUGAAAGCCCCCGGCUCAACCGGGGAACGGGCAGCGAUACGACCGGCCUGGAGGGGGGUAGGGGGCGCCGGAACUGCCGGUGGAGCGGUGAAAUGCGUUGAGAUCGGCAGGAACGCCCGUGGCGAAAGCGGGCGCCUGGACCCCGCCUGACGCUGAGGCGCGAAAGCCAGGGGAGCGAACGGG
This 254-nucleotide ribosomal RNA is filed under the name uncultured bacterium. RNAcentral describes it as "partial 16S ribosomal RNA". It matches the Rfam family "Bacterial small subunit ribosomal RNA", at positions 524 to 776 of the family's 1533-position model. The record is from RNAcentral.